Molecule: long non-coding RNA, 857 nt
Filed under: Parus major (Great Tit)
Lineage: Eukaryota; Metazoa; Chordata; Aves; Passeriformes; Paridae
Description: lncRNA (ENSPMJG00000008054.1)
Source: RNAcentral
CUUUUCUGGCCCGUUUGAAACCUGCAGUUCCUCUCCAAAUUAGGUGGCAAGAACAGGUAAAUGUGAGGCUUGCUGUGUACUCCUCCUGCCCAAGGUUGCAGUUGCAGUUCUCUGUUAUGGAAUCAUGGAGGGAUUUUAAAACUCAUUCUGUUCCAACCCCUCUGGUGUGGACACUUCUCACUGGACCAGGCUGCUCAAAGCUCCAGCCAGACUUUUUGUAGCUUUUUGAUAUCAGCAUGGGCUGCUUCCUGUAUUUCCCAGCACUGCCCUAUCCUUAACUUCAGGAGCACUCACCUACCCUAGCUACAAGAUGAGCUGAAGAGACAGAAGGAAGCAGGGAAGGGCUGUGUGCUGAGCACUGGGGAGGAUCUUGUUGGUGAAAGGAGUCUGCACAUCCUCUUGGUGCACUGCCUUUCUGAUGAUGGGAUGAAUAUCCUGAUGUCCUCACCCAGCACACUCCAGCAGAGUGUCUGAGAUCAUGAGCAGAACCUGAAGGAGCUGACAAUUUGAAUCUUGAGGAUCUCUAAUUGUUAAUAAAAAGAGACUCUUGGAAAGCACCUGUUAACAACGAUGGGCUGAACUUUGCUGCCAUGUUAUUUUCAGUCAGAGCCCUGGGACAAGGGAGUGGAGUGAGCCACUACCCUGGGCAUGCUCUCUGCAAGCAGGUUUUACAGCUGGCUUAAGUAUUUUGGGAAGAGAGUAGAAAAGAAUAAGCAGAGAACAGCCAGCUGGAAGUUUUCAGACAAGAUCUGGGGAACUUCAAAAGGAAGUUGAUGCAAAUAUCACAGCAACAUGAAAAUGCUGCAGGAAUCUCUUGUGCUUGCUUAAAGUGCUCUCUGUUUCCAGUGAUCUGCUCC